AACGUAGGUUCCGAGCGUUAUCCGGAUUUACUGGGCGUAAAGCGCGUUCAGGCGGUUGGGCAAGUCGGGCAUGAAAUCUCUGGGCUCAACCUGGAGAGGGUGUCCGAUACUGCGGAACUGGAGGGCGGUAGAGGGUGGUGGAAUUCCGGGUGUAGUGGUGAAAUGCGUAGAGAUCCGGAGGAACACCAGUGGCGAAGGCGGCCACCUGGACUGCACCUGACGCUGAGACGCGAAAGCUAGGGGAGCGAACGGG
Molecule: ribosomal RNA, 253 nt
Filed under: uncultured bacterium
Lineage: Bacteria
Description: partial 16S ribosomal RNA
Rfam family: Bacterial small subunit ribosomal RNA
Source: RNAcentral